GAUGAAGAACGCAGCGAAAUGCGAUAAGUAAUGUGAAUUGCAGAAUUCAGUGAAUCAUCGAAUCUUUGAACGCACAUUGCGCCCCUUGGUAUUCCGAGGGGCAUGCCUGUUCGAGCGUCAUUUCAACCCUCAAGCACAGCUUGGUCUUGGGCUUCGCCGCUAACCCGGCGGGUCUUAAGAUCAGUGGCGGUGCCGUCGGGCCCUGAGCGCAGUAAUCUCUCUCGCUAUAGGGUCCCGGCGGAUGCUGGCCAGUAACCCCCAAUUUUCUAUGGUUGACCUCGGAUCAGGUAGGGAUACCCGCUGAACUUAAGCAUAUCAAUAAGCGGAGGA
Molecule: unclassified non-coding RNA, 330 nt
Filed under: soil metagenome
Description: partial contains 5.8S ribosomal RNA, internal transcribed spacer 2, and large subunit ribosomal RNA
Rfam family: 5.8S ribosomal RNA (bases 1-120)
Source: RNAcentral